GGGUGAGUAACACGUGACCAACCUGCCCCUUGCUCCGGGACAACCGCUGGAAACGGCGGCUAAUACCGGAUACUCCGCGGGCCCGCAUGGGGCCGGCGGGAAAGCCCCGACGGCAAGGGAUGGGGUCGCGGCCCAUUAGGUAGUAGGCGGGGUAACGGCCCACCUAGCCCGCGAUGGGUAGCCGGCCUGAGAGGGCGAUCGGCCACAUUGGGACUGAGAUACGGCCCAGACUCCUACGGGAGGCAGCAGUGGGGAAUUUUGCGCAAUGGGGGAAACCCUGACGCAGCAACGCCGCGUGCGGGAUGACGACCCUCGGGUUGUAAACCGCUUUCAGCAGGGAAGAUAUUGACGGUACCUGCAGAAGAAGCUCCGGCUAACUACGUGCCAGCAGCCGCGGUAAUACGUAGGGAGCGAGCGUUAUCCGGAUUCAUUGGGCGUAAAGCGCGCGUAGGCGGCUGCCUAAGCGGAACCUCUAACCCCGGGGCUCAACCUCGGGCCGGGUUCCGAACUGGGCGGCUCGAGUGCGGUAGAGGAGAGCGGAAUUCCCGGUGUAGCGGUGGAAUGCGCAGAUAUCGGGAAGAACACCGAUGGCGAAGGCAGCUCUCUGGGCCGGCACUGACGCUGAGGCGCGAAAGCUGGGGGAGCGAACAGGAUUAGAUAUCCUGGUAGUCCCAGCCGUAA
RNAcentral lists this ribosomal RNA (681 nucleotides) under uncultured bacterium. Its description in RNAcentral is "bacterial SSU rRNA". It matches the Rfam family "Bacterial small subunit ribosomal RNA", at positions 104 to 805 of the family's 1533-position model. The record is from RNAcentral.